GACGAACGCUGGCGGCGUGCUUAACACAUGCAAGUCGAACGGAAAGGCCUGCUUUCCCUUGUGGAUUGCGGGUACUCGAGUGGCGAACGGGUGAGUAACACGUGAGUGAUCUGCCCCCAACUUGGGUAUAAGCCUGGGAAACUGGGUCUAAUUCCCGAUAGGACUGCAGGGUGGUGCCUGUGGUGGAAAACGAUUUUCUAGUGGUUGGGGAUGAGCUCGCGGCCUAUCAGCUUGUUGGUGGGGUAAUGGCCUACCAAGGCGGCGACGGGUAGCCGGCCUGAGAGGGUGGACGGCCACAUUGGGACUGAGAUACGGCCCAGACUCCUACGGGAGGCAGCAGUGGGGAAUAUUGCACAAUGGGCGGAAGCCUGAUGCAGUGACGCCGCGUGGGGGAUGACGGCCUUCGGGUUGUAAGCUCCUUUCGACCGCGAGGAAGCCACCUGGUUGGAAGGGUGGUGACGGUAGUGGUAGAAGAAGCACCGGCUAACUACGUG
Molecule: ribosomal RNA, 494 nt
Filed under: uncultured bacterium
Lineage: Bacteria
Description: partial 16S ribosomal RNA
Rfam family: Bacterial small subunit ribosomal RNA
Source: RNAcentral